UUCCAGCUCUGUGGUGGCAGUGGCCGUUAUGUGACCACACUUGCACAAGGCGCCUUUGUUGGGCAAAAGCCCAGAGCCUCUGACUUCUCCUCAGAAACAUUAGCCUCUGACGUUCUCUUGCUCCCUGGCUCUGGGGCUGUGAUGUCACCAAGCACUUAUUAACUUCUCAAGAAGCCAGUUGAGAGCUGUGGCACUGGGCAAGCAAGAAGCCAGGGCCUGGGAUAUUGGUGAAGGGGGAACAGGCCCACAGAGACGCUGGCAAGAGCUGCUGCAGGGAGCGCAGUGGAGGGGGAAAAGCUGCUUCCUAACAGCUCGGUCAGAACCCUGCCUGCAGUGGAAUGGGAAGAAGCGAGGCUCUUCGGGGCCAGCCUCCAGCGCUUGGACACCUUGGAUCAGUUGUCAACCUCAGGGGCCCAGUAAGAGGCCCCUGGCACCGACAUUCCCAUGAUUAUUAAACAACUGAGCAUAAAGCCAGCUCUUCGCCCAGCCCAGGGCCGGGGGCAUCACGAAUCAGCAGCAGUCCUGAGAAAUCCCUACCUACCUGGGUCCACAGCAGGUGGGAGGAGCCUGCAGAGGUCAGGGUUGGGGCAGUCCACCCCUCAAGAAUCUCUGCGGAAUUUGGCUGAUGCCUCUGGAAGUGCUUUGAAGGACUUGUUAAGGCUCCAUCCCCAGAACUGGGUGCUCCCCUGCCACCCUUCCCAGAGGUGCCCGCAGGCCUGAAGCUCGCAUUGAGUCCCAGCCUUUGGCCUUCAUGAACUGAGCCAGGAAGCAUCCAGCACACACUGGGACAGCAUUGUCCGUGACGGCGGCGCGUCCCCACCCACAGCCAGACACAGCUGGCCUCAUCCACUGCUACACGCUGUGCAACCUUGGGCAAGUCACUCAACCUUAGAAGACUCGGUGGAAGGGGAGCAAUAGUAUCUACUCCAAAGAGCUGUUGGGAGUCUUAAAUCAGAUGGCAUGGGUUCCUACCCCAGGGCCUGACCUAUAGGAUUUGAUACAUGGGCACUCUCAUCCCUAGCCCUUUUUCUCUUCCAUUCUUUUCCAAAGAAAAAAACCCAAAACCAUGAUUCAUCCUAAACCUCGUCUCGGCCAGACAAGUAGAGCCAAAGAGAGGCAAAGCUGAUAAAGUGUUGGGCCGGGUGGGGGAGGGGGGGUGGACAGAGAUUCAGAGGUUCGAAUAGGCGCUUUCUGCCUUUAGGAGUCCCUGGUCGAGGAGGCUUUGCAGGACACUGGGAGCUAGAGCUGAGGUGCCAGCCCCCACUAUGGGGGGAGAGCCUCUUGUCAUCUCGUGCAGUUUGUGCUUGAGGUCCAGACAGUUCCAAAGCCUGUUCCUCAAACCCCGCACUCCAUCAGACCCCAGCAAGGGGCCAGCGAGAACAAACAGAAGCACAGGAACCAGGAGAGAGGCUACUCCAUCGCUGUCAUGGAGACAUGACAUGCAACAUCAUCCUGGGCUUCACUGCGCCUCUAUUUUUUCACCCAGAAAAUAGAGUCAGACUGAUGGUGUCCUCUUGGCCUCUUGCAUUUCCUCCUCUAGCUCCUCGUCGCCCCUCCCUCUCCUUCCCCUCAGGCCUCAGCCAGACAAACCAUGCUUAGCCAAAGGGAGGAACAAGGCUGUAGGCUGUUCUCUAAGGUCCUUUCGGUGGCUCCACCUUCUGAGGGCCCCGUAUUCCACUUUUCUGAGCCAGCACUGGGGUUGGAUAGGGGGACCACAGCCCUUGACUUCCCUGGAGGACUCUGAUGCCAUUCACACCCUUGUCCCUCAUGGGCUUCUGUCCCUCUGGGACUCUUGGACGAUCUUACGCCACCUCUCAAAGUUCCUGGGUUAAAAA
Molecule: long non-coding RNA, 1835 nt
Organism: Mirounga angustirostris (Northern elephant seal)
Lineage: Eukaryota; Metazoa; Chordata; Mammalia; Carnivora; Phocidae
Exons: 2
Source: RefSeq, a predicted model, not a curated record